UACGAAGGGGGCUAGCGUUGUUCGGAUUUACUGGGCGUAAAGCGCACGUAGGCGGAUUGGUCAGUUAGAGGUGAAAUCCCGAAGCUCAACUUCGGAACUGCCUUUAAUACUGCCAGUCUAGAGUCCGGAAGAGGUAAGUGGAACUCCUAGUGUAGAGGUGGAAUUCGUAGAUAUUAGGAAGAACACCAGUGGCGAAGGCGGCUUGCUGGGCCGGACCUGACGCUGAGACGCGAAGGCGUGGGGAGCGAACGGG
This 253-nucleotide ribosomal RNA is filed under the name uncultured bacterium. RNAcentral's name for it is "partial 16S ribosomal RNA". It matches the Rfam family "Bacterial small subunit ribosomal RNA", at positions 524 to 776 of the family's 1533-position model. The record is from RNAcentral.